AUUGAACGCUGGCGGCAUGCUUUACACAUGCAAGUCGAACGGUAACAGGGUGCUUGCACCGCUGACGAGUGGCGAACGGGUGAGUAAUGCGUCGGAACGUGCCGAGUAGUGGGGGAUAACGCAGCGAAAGUUGUGCUAAUACCGCAUACGUACUGAGGUAGAAAGUGGGGGACCUUCGGGCCUCACGCUAUUCGAGCGGCCGGCGUCUGAUUAGCUAGUAGGUGAGGUAAAGGCUCACCUAGGCGACGAUCAGUAGCGGGUCUGAGAGGAUGGUCCGCCACACUGGGACUGAGACACGGCCCAGACUCCUACGGGAGGCAGCAGUGGGGAAUUUUGGACAAUGGGCGAAAGCCUGAUCCAGCCAUGCCGCGUGUCUGAAGAAGGCCUUCGGGUUGUAAAGGACUUUUGUCAGGGAGGAAAUCCCUAGUGCUAAUAACACUGGGGGAUGACAGUACCUGAAGAAUAAGCACCGGCUAACUACGUGCCAGCAGCCGCGGUAA
RNAcentral lists this ribosomal RNA (500 nucleotides) under uncultured bacterium. RNAcentral describes it as "partial 16S ribosomal RNA". It matches the Rfam family "Bacterial small subunit ribosomal RNA", at positions 30 to 523 of the family's 1533-position model. The record is from RNAcentral.